Molecule: unclassified non-coding RNA, 465 nt
Filed under: Hevea brasiliensis (rubber tree)
Lineage: Eukaryota; Viridiplantae; Streptophyta; Magnoliopsida; Malpighiales; Euphorbiaceae
Source: RNAcentral
AAGUCUGCAAUUCUCUGCUGAUUUUGCAAAUUACAAUUCUCUUCAAGUCAAUCAUUAGGCUACUUCCCCCAAGGCCAUUGGGCUCCUAAAUGGCCUUGUCCACGGGUAAACAACUGAUUCACUCAAAUAUUGGCUGAUUUUUGCAAAAGAUUAGAUGGAAGAGUAAAAUGCUAUAUAAUUUACAUUAUCAAUUUAUUUUAGUUCAUUCAAACUGAACGUACCAACAAAACCAUCUAAUUAUUCUUUGUUUAUGCCCAAAUAGAAAGCACAGAUAACUAUAUAUGGCCUACAUGAAACACAACAGUCCUUGCUCUUGUAAUUUAAAGCCACAAAUUUGCUGAAACUGCAGUUGCCUUAAAGAGACAUUGAAUUUCAUUCAGCUGUUGGAUGCAAAGAUGGCCCCAUUCUAGCUUGCAUGAAAUUGUUUCUGACUGAAUGUAUCUCUUUGAUUGCAUCGCUUAUGUC